This 1372-nucleotide ribosomal RNA is filed under the name uncultured bacterium. Its description in RNAcentral is "bacterial SSU rRNA". It matches the Rfam family "Bacterial small subunit ribosomal RNA", at positions 28 to 1381 of the family's 1533-position model. The record is from RNAcentral.
GAUGAACGCUGGCGGCGUGCCUAAUACAUGCAAGUCGAGCGAACGGACGAGAAGCUUGCUUCUCUGAUGUUAGCGGCGGACGGGUGAGUAACACGUGGAUAACCUACCUAUAAGACUGGGAUAACUUCGGGAAACCGGAGCUAAUACCGGAUAAUAUUUUGAACCGCAUGGUUCAAAAGUGAAAGACGGUCUUGCUGUCACUUAUAGAUGGAUCCGCGCUGCAUUAGCUAGUUGGUAAGGUAACGGCUUACCAAGGCAACGAUGCAUAGCCGACCUGAGAGGGUGAUCGGCCACACUGGAACUGAGAUACGGUCCAGACUCCUACGGGAGGCAGCAGUAGGGAGUCUUCCGCAAUGGGCGAAAGCCUGACGGAGCAACGCCGCGUGAGUGAUGAAGGUCUUCGGAUCGUAAAACUCUGUUAUUAGGGAAGAACAUAUGUGUAAGUAACUGUGCACAUCUUGACGGUACCUAAUCAGAAAGCCACGGCUAACUACGUGCCAGCAGCCGCGGUAAUACGUAGGUGGCAAGCGUUAUCCGGAAUUAUUGGGCGUAAAGCGCGCGUAGGCGGUUUUUUAAGUCUGAUGUGAAAGCCCACGGCUCAACCGUGGAGGGUCAUUGGAAACUGGAAAACUUGAGUGCAGAAGAGGAAAGUGGAAUUCCAUGUGUAGCGGUGAAAUGCGCAGAGAUAUGGAGGAACACCAGUGGCGAAGGCGACUUUCUGGUCUGUAACUGACGCUGAUGUGCGAAAGCGUGGGGAUCAAACAGGAUUAGAUACCCUGGUAGUCCACGCCGUAAACGAUGAGUGCUAAGUGUUAGGGGGUUUCCGCCCCUUAGUGCUGCAGCUAACGCAUUAAGCACUCCGCCUGGGGAGUACGACCGCAAGGUUGAAACUCAAAGGAAUUGACGGGGACCCGCACAAGCGGUGGAGCAUGUGGUUUAAUUCGAAGCAACGCGAAGAACCUUACCAAAUCUUGACAUCCUUUGACAACUCUAGAGAUAGAGCCUUCCCCUUCGGGGGACAAAGUGACAGGUGGUGCAUGGUUGUCGUCAGCUCGUGUCGUGAGAUGUUGGGUUAAGUCCCGCAACGAGCGCAACCCUUAAGCUUAGUUGCCAUCAUUAAGUUGGGCACUCUAAGUUGACUGCCGGUGACAAACCGGAGGAAGGUGGGGAUGACGUCAAAUCAUCAUGCCCCUUAUGAUUUGGGCUACACACGUGCUACAAUGGACAAUACAAAGGGCAGCGAAACCGCGAGGUCAAGCAAAUCCCAUAAAGUUGUUCUCAGUUCGGAUUGUAGUCUGCAACUCGACUACAUGAAGCUGGAAUCGCUAGUAAUCGUAGAUCAGCAUGCUACGGUGAAUACGUUCCCGGGUCU